Molecule: non-coding RNA, 72 nt
Organism: Bos taurus (domestic cattle)
Lineage: Eukaryota; Metazoa; Chordata; Mammalia; Artiodactyla; Bovidae
Source: Rfam
UCCCUGAUAGCUCAGUUGGUAAAGAAUCUGCCUGAAAUGUAGGAGACCCUGGUUUGAUUCCUGGGUGGGGAA